CAUAUAAAAUUUUGAGAAUCAUUGCAUACAAAA
Molecule: small RNA, 33 nt
Filed under: Plasmodium falciparum 3D7
Lineage: Eukaryota; Apicomplexa; Aconoidasida; Haemosporida; Plasmodiidae
Description: Pfa-npcR6591
Source: RNAcentral